CCGGAGCCCCCUCCUGCAUCGGCCCCAGGGGAGGAAGCCGCCUGUCAGGCUGCCUCGGCGUGUCAAAUCCUCUUGCUGCCUAAUUGUGAGACGGCGGCGUUUAAAGAAACGCUUUCUGGCCGCCUGCCACACCGCAAACUGCUUGGUAUAAUUUUAUUAUUAAGGAGAGAGAAAAAGAGAAGGGGCUGGAGGAGAGAGAAAGGGGAGAGCGGAGGAAAUUGCUUCGUCCAAGUCAGCUGGUGGAGUAUUCCGCUCAAUAUGAAAGCGGGGACAGCUUUCCAGUUGGCAAGCUGACUCCGUUAAUUGCGCAUUCAGUCUCUACUUAGGGUAAUUGGAACGAAGCGGGGCCUAGCUCUGACAAUUAGGGUCUGCGACUAGGCCAUUAACCCUUUCUGCAACCAGCCCCCGCCCCAUCGACACCAGGCGGGGUAGGGAUCAGGCGAGGACCCCACACUGAGGUGCGGGCUGCAGCGGGGAGCUGGACGGGGAGCCGCGCGGAGGGUGGGGUCUGCGGCCUCUCCGCCACUGCUACAGAUGUUUCGGCCAUGUAAGACAAAGGCAGAGCACGGCAGUCGCCGGGAGAAAAUCCGCAGGACUCCCUCUGGGGCAGCCGCCCUCGGAAGUCAGCCGAGUGAAGCAGCUGUUCCUUGCACACUCCACUUGACCAAAGAUGAUGAUAAAUGAGGCCAGGGCUGCGUCAGGGAUGCGGCGGCAAGGGCCGUGCAGGGCGGUGCGAGGGGCCUGCAGCCCCCGCACUCCGCUCGGCUAAGUGCGCGCCCGGAGGACAGCGUCCGAGAACCCCCUUCCCCCCGUCCAGCAGACCUUCUUGCAGGUCCGCACCCUUCCUUGAAUACUGGGGUCCCCGCGGUGUCCUCUCCUCCUCCCCCAGCACGCGCGCCCCAAACCUAUUAAUGUUCGUAAAUAAUGAAUAAAGAAGCGCUUCCUACA
Long non-coding RNA from Mesocricetus auratus (golden hamster), 948 nucleotides. RefSeq lists it as uncharacterized. The transcript is spliced from 2 exons. NCBI's taxonomy places the organism in Eukaryota, Metazoa, Chordata, Mammalia, Rodentia, Cricetidae. The record is from RefSeq and is a predicted model, not a curated record.